UAAUGGUAUCACUGCCUCUGGAGCAGGGCUGGGCCUGGUUAGUACUUGGAUGAGAGACUGCUGGGAAAACCAUGUACCACAUUAG
Molecule: ribosomal RNA, 85 nt
Organism: Periophthalmus magnuspinnatus
Lineage: Eukaryota; Metazoa; Chordata; Actinopteri; Gobiiformes; Gobiidae
Source: Ensembl